GGUUGAAGGUUGGGUAACACUAACUGGAGGACCGAACCGACUAAUGUUGAAAAAUUAGCGGAUGACCUGUGGCUGGGGGUGAAAGGCCAAUCAAACCGGGAGAUAGCUGGUUCUCCCCGAAAGCUAUUUAGGUAGCGCCUCGUGAAUUCAUCUCCGGGGGUAGAGCACUGUUUCGGCUAGGGGGCCAUCCCGGCUUACCAACCCGAUGCAAACUGCGAAUACCGGAGAAUGUUAUCACGGGAGACACACGGCGGGUGCUAACGUCCGUCGUGAAGAGGGAAACAACCCAGACCGCCAGCUAAGGUCCCAAAGUCAUGGUUAAGUGGGAAACGAUGUGGGAAGGCCCAGACAGCCAGGAUGUUGGCUUAGAAGCAGCCAUCAUUUAAAGAAAGCGUAAUAGCUCACUGGUCGAGUCGGCCUGCGCGGAAGAUGUAACGGGGCUAAACCAUGCACCGAAGCUGCGGCAGCGAACGUAUCACCCAAGACAACUUUACGGAGUUGACGAUUGACGGAGCGAAGCGACGUCAAAGCGUUCAUUAAAGUCGAGUUGGCUUAGGGAUACGUUCGUUGGGUAGGGGAGCGUUCUGUAAGCCUGUGAAGGUGUGUCGUGAGGCAUGCUGGAGGUAUCAGAAGUGCGAAUGCUGACAUAAGUAACGAUAAAGCGGGUGAAAAGCCCGCUCGCCGGAAGACCAAGGGUUCCUGUCCAACGUUAAUCGGGGCAGGGUGAGUCGACCCCUAAGGCGAGGCCGAAAGGCGUAGUCGAUGGGAAACGGGUUAAUAUUCCCGUACUUGGUGUUACUGCGAAGGGGGGACGGAGAAGGCUAUGUUGGCCGGGCGACGGUUGUCCCGGUUUAAGCGUGUAGGUGUGUGUUCCAGGUAAAUCCGGUUCACUUUAACACUGAGGCGUGACGACGAGGCACUACGGUGCUGAAGCAACAAAUGCCCUGCUUCCAGGAAAAGCCUCUAAGCAUCAGGUAACAUCAAAUCGUACCCCAAACCGACACAGGUGGUCAGGUAGAGAAUACCAAGGCGCUUGAGAGAACUCGGGUGAAGGAACUAGGCAAAAUGGUGCCGUAACUUCGGGAGAAGGCACGCUGACACGUAGGUGAAGUGAUUUACUCA
This 1122-nucleotide ribosomal RNA is filed under the name Salmonella enterica. RNAcentral describes it as "partial 23S ribosomal RNA". It matches the Rfam family "Bacterial large subunit ribosomal RNA", at positions 743 to 1773 of the family's 2925-position model. The record is from RNAcentral. Lineage: Bacteria; Pseudomonadati; Pseudomonadota; Gammaproteobacteria; Enterobacterales; Enterobacteriaceae.